Molecule: ribosomal RNA, 255 nt
Filed under: uncultured bacterium
Lineage: Bacteria
Description: partial 16S ribosomal RNA
Rfam family: Bacterial small subunit ribosomal RNA
Source: RNAcentral
UACGAAGGGGGCUAGCGUUGCUCGGAAUCACUGGGCGUAAAGGGUGCGUAGGCGGGUCUUUUAAGUCAGGGGUGAAAUCCUGGAGCUCAACUCCAGAACUGCCUUUGAUACUGAAGAUCUUGAGUUCGGGAGAGGUGAGUGGAACUGCGAAGUGUAGAGGUGAAAUUCGUAGAUAUUCGCAAGAACACCAGUGGCGAAGGCGGCUCACUGGCCCGAUACUGACGCUGAGGCACGAAAGCGUGGGGAGCAAACAGG